RNAcentral lists this ribosomal RNA (793 nucleotides) under uncultured soil archaeon. Its description in RNAcentral is "bacterial SSU rRNA". It matches the Rfam family "Archaeal small subunit ribosomal RNA", at positions 80 to 856 of the family's 1478-position model. The record is from RNAcentral.
AAAGCACAGCUCAGUAGCACGUGGCUAACCUGCCCUUGGGACGGAAGCACCCCAGGGAAACUGGGGCUAAUUUCCGAUAGGUGAAGACUUCUGGAAUGGGUUUUUGCCUAAAGGGCUCUUAGGGCAUGCUUCUAGGCGUCGCCCAAGGAUGGGGCCGCGGCCGAUCAGGUUGUUGGUGAGGUAACGGCUCACCAAGCCUUUAACCGGUGCGGGCCGUGGGAGCGGAAGCCCUGAGAUGGGCACUGAGACAAGGGCCCAGGCCCUACGGGGCGCAGCAGUCGCGAAAACUUCGCAAUAAGCGAAAGCUUGACGGGGCUAUCCCGAGUGCCAUCCGCUGAGGACGGCUUUUCCUCAGUAUAGAUAGCUGGGGGAAUAAGGAGAGGGCAAGUCUGGUGUCAGCCGCCGCGGUAAUACCAGCUCUCCGAGUGGUGGGGAUGAUUAUUGGGCCUAAAGCAUCCGUAGCCGGCUGGGCAAGUCCCCUGUUAAACCCAGCGAUUCAAUCGUUGGUCUGCGGGGGAUACUGCUCGGCUAGGGGGCGAGAGAGGUCGUCGGUAUUCCCGGGGUAGGGGUGAAAUCCUAUAAUCCCGGGAGGACCACCAGUGGCGAAGGCUGUCGGCUAGAACGCGCCCGACGGUGAGGGAUAAAAGCUGGGGGAGCGAACCGGAUUAGAUACCCGGGUAGUCCCAGCUGUAAACGAUGCAGGCUAGGUGUUAGAGCGACCACGUGCCGCUCUAGUGCCGCAGGGAAGCUGUUAAGCCUGCCGCCUGGGGAUACCGNCCGGCAGGCUGAAUUU